GAUGAACGCUGGCGGCGUGCCUAAUACAUGCAAGUCGAGCGAACGGACGAGAAGCUUGCUUUUCUGAUGUUAGCGGCGGACGGGUGAGUAACACGUGGAUAACCUACCUAUAAGACUGGGAUAACUUCGGGAAACCGGAGCUAAUACCGGAUAAUAUUUUGAACCGCAUGGUUCAAAAGUGAAAGACGGUCUUGCUGUCACUUAUAGAUGGAUCCGCGCUGCAUUAGCUAGUUGGUAAGGUAACGGCUUACCAAGGCAACGAUGCAUAGCCGACCUGAGAGGGUGAUCGGCCACACGGGAACUGGGACACGGUCCAGACUCCUACGGGAGGCAGCAGUAGGGAAUCUUCCGCAAUGGGCGAAAGCCUGACGGAGCAACGCCGCGUGAGUGAUGAAGGUCUUCGGAUCGUAAAACUCUGUUAUUAGGGAAGAACAUAUGUGUAAGUAACUGUGCACAUCUUGACGGUACCUAAUCAGAAAGCCACGGCUAACUACGUG
Molecule: ribosomal RNA, 497 nt
Filed under: uncultured bacterium
Lineage: Bacteria
Description: partial 16S ribosomal RNA
Rfam family: Bacterial small subunit ribosomal RNA
Source: RNAcentral